GACGAACCGAGCAAACGUUAUUCGGAAUCACUGGGCUUAAAGGGCGCGUAGGCGGGCAUCCAAGUCCGUGGUGAAAUCCGGCAGCUUAACUGUCGAACUGCCGCGGAUACUGGGUGUCUCGAGGGAGGUAGGGGCGCGCGGAACUAUUGGUGGAGCGGUGAAAUGCGUUGAUAUCAAUAGGAACUCCGGUGGCGAAGGCGGCGCGCUGGACCUCUUCUGACGCUGAGGCGCGAAAGCCAGGGGAGCAAACGGG
Molecule: ribosomal RNA, 253 nt
Filed under: uncultured bacterium
Lineage: Bacteria
Description: partial 16S ribosomal RNA
Rfam family: Bacterial small subunit ribosomal RNA
Source: RNAcentral